This 77-nucleotide transfer RNA is filed under the name Planctomycetota bacterium. RNAcentral's name for it is "tRNA-Lys". It matches the Rfam family "tRNA". From Rfam's summary of the family: Transfer RNA (tRNA) molecules are approximately 80 nucleotides in length. Their secondary structure includes four short double-helical elements and three loops (D, anti-codon, and T loops). The record is from RNAcentral. Lineage: Bacteria; Pseudomonadati; Planctomycetota.
GCGCCGGUAGCUCAGCUAGGUAGAGCAGCUGACUCUUAAUCAGCGGGUCGGGGGUUCGAGUCCCUCCCGGCGUACCA